This 90-nucleotide ribosomal RNA is filed under the name Danio rerio (zebrafish). The record is from RNAcentral. Lineage: Eukaryota; Metazoa; Chordata; Actinopteri; Cypriniformes; Danionidae.
UCAUAUGGUCGCCCACUGAAGCUAAGCAGGGCUGCGCCCGGUCAGUACUAGGAUGGGUGACCACAUGGGAAAGCCAGGUUGCUGCCGGAA